Monodelphis domestica (gray short-tailed opossum) is the source of this 508-nucleotide long non-coding RNA. RefSeq lists it as uncharacterized. NCBI's taxonomy places the organism in Eukaryota, Metazoa, Chordata, Mammalia, Didelphimorphia, Didelphidae. The record is from RefSeq and is a predicted model, not a curated record.
UGAAGACUUCCUGGUCAAGAUGGCUCCAGAGUAGAAGCAGAGUUCUUCUUCUCUCCACCAAUGGAGACAGAGUGCCUCAAAAUGACAAAACCAAUGUCAAACAAGUGAAGGAGUUCCAUGGUAGGGCACACAGCAGGGAAGAUCUCUGAUUGUUGGUGAAUGCAGAAAUCUGGAUUCCAGCAAGUCCAAGAGACAUUUUCCCUGGAGAAAGUGUUUGGAAACGUAUCUUCUCGACUGAUGUAAAAAUCAUUCUUUGUAGCUGAUGAUAUACUCAAAAUCUACUUGCUAAUAAGCCUGAGAUAUCCCAAAUCUAUUGAUAGCCUGUUCCCUAAAGAUCUUCCAAGCAACUCCAAGCACUCCUGGAUAAUAUGUUGAAAUGUUAGCAAGAAUUCUUCUAAUUUAUUCUAAACAUGUGUGUAAUAAAGAUACUUGUGAAAUAUUAUGUGGCUUGGUUCUUUUUGAUCUUGUUAAAAGUGUUCAUGUCAGCUAAAGGAAAGAUGAUGUGAAA